Molecule: ribosomal RNA, 320 nt
Filed under: uncultured bacterium
Lineage: Bacteria
Description: bacterial SSU rRNA
Rfam family: Bacterial small subunit ribosomal RNA
Source: RNAcentral
GACGAACGCUGGCGGCGUGCUUAACACAUGCAAGUCGAGCGGUAAGGCCCUUCGGGGUACACGAGCGGCGAACGGGUGAGUAACACGUGGGUGACCUGCCCUCAGCUCUGGGAUAAGCCCGGGAAACUGGGUCUAAUACCGGAUAGGACCGCUUGCCGCAUGGUGGGUGGUGGGAAAGCCAGUUACAUUGUUUCUGGCGGCUGGGGGAUGGGCCCGCGGCCUAUCAGCUUGUUGGUGGGGUGAUGGCCUACCAAGGCGGCGACGGGUAGCCGGCCUGAGAGGGCGACCGGCCACACUGGGACUGAGACACGGCCCAGACU